This 395-nucleotide unclassified non-coding RNA is filed under the name soil metagenome. RNAcentral's name for it is "partial contains 5.8S ribosomal RNA, internal transcribed spacer 2, and large subunit ribosomal RNA". The stretch from base 1 to 122 matches the Rfam family "5.8S ribosomal RNA", at positions 35 to 154 of the family's 154-position model. The record is from RNAcentral.
GAUGAAGAACGUAGCGAAAUGCGAUACAUGGUGUGAAUUGCAGAAUCCCGUGAACCAUCGAGUCUUUGAACGCAAGUUGCGCCCGAAGCCAUCAGGUUGAGGGCACGUCUGCCUGGGCGUCACAUAUCGUUGCCCAAUGCCUAUUGCAGUGCAAUAGGAAUUUCUAGGGCGAAUGAUGGCUUCCCGUGAGCGUUGUUGCCUCGCGGUUGGUUGAAAAUCGAGUCCUUGGUAGGGUGUGCCAUGGUAGAUGGUGGUCGAGUUAGAACGAUACCGAUCAUGUGCAUGCUCCCCAAAAUAUGGCCUCUAUGACCCACACGCGUCUUUUGACGCUCAUGACGAGACCUCAGGUCAGGCGGGGCUACCCGCUGAAUUUAAGCAUAUCAAUAAGCGGAGGA